AGUGGGAUAGCUGGGUCAAAUGGUGGUUCCAUUCCAAGUUUUCUAAGGAAUCUCCAUAUUGUUUUCCAGAGUGGCACACCAAUUUGCAGUUCCACCAGCAAU
This 102-nucleotide microRNA precursor is filed under the name Marmota monax (woodchuck). The record is from RNAcentral. Lineage: Eukaryota; Metazoa; Chordata; Mammalia; Rodentia; Sciuridae.